UGUAUUUAAACAAAUGUUAUGGGUUUUAAGGAGUUUCCCAUCGUCUCCUUUUAGCUCUGGGUUUUUUCCGUCUUCCGAUCGACGUAGCUCCGCAUUUUUAUAGUCAUGCUGCUGACUAGCUUUAGACUUCAGAUUAUCUUCAUUAGUCCUUAGCUUUUGCAUUUCGUUGUCCAUACUGUCCACUUUUAUACAAAGUGUAGUUAUGGCUUUGAGUAUCUCUUCCAUUGUAUUUUCGUUCUCAGUCUGAGUAGCUUUGUCUUGAUAAGUAAUCUGCAAUAACAUUCUUAUCAGUUUUUAUUACUUCAAUUGUAAAUGUGAAAUUUAAUAUAUUUAAUA
This 336-nucleotide long non-coding RNA is filed under the name Solanum tuberosum (potato). RNAcentral's name for it is "long non-coding RNA (STUB_LNC009031)". The record is from RNAcentral. Lineage: Eukaryota; Viridiplantae; Streptophyta; Magnoliopsida; Solanales; Solanaceae.